Molecule: small RNA, 85 nt
Filed under: Sinorhizobium meliloti 2011
Lineage: Bacteria; Pseudomonadati; Pseudomonadota; Alphaproteobacteria; Hyphomicrobiales; Rhizobiaceae
Description: putative ncRNA
Source: RNAcentral
GUAGGUGAAGGCCGUCAGCAGAUUGGCUGCAAAACCAGAAACGUCGUUUGUUACCGGUGCGGCUUGACCGGCGCUGAAUACCGAC